RNAcentral lists this ribosomal RNA (451 nucleotides) under uncultured bacterium. RNAcentral describes it as "partial 16S ribosomal RNA". It matches the Rfam family "Bacterial small subunit ribosomal RNA", at positions 28 to 523 of the family's 1533-position model. The record is from RNAcentral.
GAUGAACGCUGGCGGCGUGCCUAAUACAUGCAAGUCGAACGAAGUCUUCGGACUUAGUGGCGAACGGGUGAGUAACACGUUGGUACCUACCCCGAAGUGGGGAAUAACUGCCCGAAAGGGUGGCUAAUACCGCAUAAUACCGCAAGGUUAAAGCAGUAAUGCGCUUCGGGGGGGGCCUGCGUCCCAUUAGCUAGUUGGUAGGGUAAUGGCCUACCAAGGCGACGAUGGGUAGCUGGAUCGAGAGGUUGCCCAGCCACACUGGGACUGAGAUACGGCCCAGACUCCUACGGGAGGCAGCAGUAAGGAAUCUUCCACCAUGGACGAAAGUCGGAUGGGGCAACGCCGCGUGCAGGAUGACGGCCUUCGGGUUGUAAACUGCUUUUAUACGGGAAGAUUAUGACGGUACCGUAUGAAUAAGGACCGGCUAACUACGUGCCAGCAGCCGCCGCGG